Molecule: ribosomal RNA, 649 nt
Filed under: uncultured bacterium
Lineage: Bacteria
Description: bacterial SSU rRNA
Rfam family: Bacterial small subunit ribosomal RNA
Source: RNAcentral
CAGGCCUAACACAUGCAAGUCGAACGGUAACAGGUCUUCGGAUGCUGACGAGUGGCGAACGGGUGAGUAAUACAUCGGAACGUGCCCGAUCGUGGGGGAUAACGAGGCGAAAGCUUUGCUAAUACCGCAUACGAUCUACGGAUGAAAGCGGGGGAUCUUCGGACCUCGCGCGGACGGAGCGGCCGAUGGCAGAUUAGGUAGUUGGUGGGAUAAAAGCUUACCAAGCCGACGAUCUGUAGCUGGUCUGAGAGGAUGAUCAGCCACACUGGGACUGAGACACGGCCCAGACUCCUACGGGAGGCAGCAGUGGGGAAUUUUGGACAAUGGGCGAAAGCCUGAUCCAGCCAUGCCGCGUGCAGGAUGAAGGCCUUCGGGUUGUAAACUGCUUUUGUACGGAACGAAAAGCCUCUUUCUAAUAAAGAGGGGUCAUGACGGUACCGUAAGAAUAAGCACCGGCUAACUACGUGCCAGCAGCCGCGGUAAUACGUAGGGUGCAAGCGUUAAUCGGAAUUACUGGGCGUAAAGCGUGCGCAGGCGGUUUUGUAAGACAGAGGUGAAACCCCCGGGCUCAACCUGGGAACUGCCUUUGUGACUGCAAGGCUGGAGUGCGGCAGAGGGGGAUGGAAUUCCGCGUGUAGCAGUGAAAUGC